AGCAUUUCUAUAAGACAAGAUUAUGAUCUCAAGAGACUGCAUUUUAAUUUACAACUACAUCUCUCUGCCUAUCUCUGAUAAAAAUUAUAACCAGGUAUGUACAGCCACAAAGACUAUGACCUUGACGAAAAUUUUCUUUGCAGAUCCCACGAUUUCACCAAACCAUCACCAAUCUCAGCGAGACACUUUCUCUUUCAACUGUAUACCGCAGCUCUAAUUAACCGACAAAACGACGAAAGAGAGGAGGACCUUAUAAUUAUAUAAAUUGCGAGCUACGAACGAAUCGAGACACCUGAACAGACUGGACGUGUCCACCCACACCGGGUCUCUUCUUCGAGGAGCGUGGAAAGCGAACCGUGUGCCACUUUUUAUUCGAGGCGACUCGAUCGGAAUCGUUACGCAAAUUUUGUCGGCUUGCAAUCAAGUGGAAAUCGCUUACUGAACAGAGAAUAAUUGAACGGGUAAUCACCGAGAUUAACAAGCGGAAUUCCGUUGGAAGAAAACUGUAUUUCGAUGAUGAAUUAAAUAGUUUCGAAGGUAGACGAGUUUCGCGACGAAACCAUUCAGUGAGCUCGUGCGAACCGGAGUCAAGCGAUCGAAAUGCGUCAUCGACUAAUUAACUAGCGCUUGCUAGCGUCAUUAGCGGAAUUAUCAGGAGUGGAUGAAACGUUGGGGCGAUCUACGGCUCGACGGGCCUUAAAUGCGACCGGAAAUAACGUUAUUCAAUGCUAUUUUCCAUCUUGAUGUUAAAGUACAUUGUCAGAUUGAAGCACCGAAUAAAAAAAGAGAGAAAUCCGGACAAAAAACCCUUGACCCGAAUGUGCUAUGCCGGAGAAAUAUUCGAUAAUAUACUUCAAGGUUCAAACCAUCGAGAAAAGCAAUUUGGUUCUUUAAAAAUGGACACACAUGGACAAUUUAGUGACAACUUCAGUCUACUAAAUUUUGCACGUGGACGUUUAGUAUCUCUUGGAGUGUAACAAGUACCUAAAUAGUAAAUAUUGAAAUAUCUGAAGUUGUAUAUUACAUGUUAAAGUAUCUGAGGUACAGUAAAUGUUAAAAUAUCUGAGGUACAGUAAAUAUUAAAAUAUCUGAGGUGUGGGACUCGGUUGAUAAUUAUCAGCGAUGCCCAGCAAGCAGUCGUCGCAUUUGCAAUAAAGAUUGCUGCUGGACGCUGAGUCGCUGGAUAGCAAAGAGUUAUAGAGUCUCAAGUCUGGAAUUUAUUUUCUCUCUUGAAGAGCAGUUCUCAGGAUUGUACUGAAGUUUGUAAUUUAUCUUUGAAGAUAUCUUCUGGACUUUGAGAUUUCUGUUUUAAAACACUGUGCAAGUCACAUCACUUUAUACAGAACAGUUCUCCUACAUCUCAGAAGACACUACAUAUAAUUGAUAUAAGGUACAAUAUGAAGAACGCACUGGAACACUAGGUUGCAUCUUAGGUGCUUACGCACACUCACUUAUGGUGGCUAAUCAGUGAUUCAAUGCAAUAGUUUUCCAAGGAACCUAUUGGCAAGGAUGAUGUCCUCAAUUAAAGACAUGUUCAAAGACUUCUCUGAAGAUCAUCCCCUAAUACUUUCUUGAAGAAAACCUAUUCUGCAUUGCUUCUUGUAAAUAUCCUGUACUAUCCUACAUCAUAAUGUAGAGAACAGAGUGCAUAAAAGUCGCACUUUGCUACAGAUGUAAACAAGAUGGCGGUAAACAAAGUCACCUAGAUUGGAUCGUCGGUAACAUAUAACUACACCCACGCACGAUUGUUAGCCUUGACGCGGUUGAACUUCACUCAGAACGAGGAUCAAUUUCUGUGGAGUUACGUGUCCCUAUGUUACUCAACGCUCAGACAAUUUGAACAGCCGAGGAAAAGAACGAUCUUACGAUAACAAACAUGAUCAGUGCUUUUAUGUAACCAGCGUGAAUUAAAGGCUCGACAACUUGUUAAGCAUUUUUCUUCCUAGAAGGAUAUUCGAUUCUUAAAAGCUUGGGCAAUUUUAAAGAUAGAAGCAUAAAUAUAUAUUCGAUGAAUCAAGAAUUUUGUGUAGAAACAUAGUACGAUUGCAAUAGCAAUUCGGUUGGAGAAGAGAUAGAAUAUCGAAGAGGAUCGAUGAUACUCGACGCGCGGUUGCACGGUUUUCCUCCGGUGACCCGAAUUGACAACUUCCUGUUACCAGUCCGCGUAUUACUCGAUUGUCUAUCGUGUAUUACAUAUAUGGCAUAUACACGUGCACUGCAUAGCCUAACAGGUGAUAAUCCUGACUGCCAUCUGCCGCGACUCGGCUUCGCUAUUCUCGUAUCUUUCAGUACAAAAGCUUAAUCCUAUUAGAUAAAACUAUCGAAAUCCAUAAUGAGGUAAAACGUAGAGAUCUUUGUAACGCGUUUCUUUGAAGUGAACUCAAAACUCACACAACUUGAUUCAUUCAGUACGUCUGUCUUUGUUCUCAAACGCGAUCAUGCAGAUCAGACAGGAAACAAAAGGUGUACGGUUCUCUCGCAUAAUGAAGAGUCGAUUGACGUAACGUAUUUACAAUUCGGGUCGCCGUAAAUAGCUAUCUCUAUUUUUCGAUAUCGUUCAUCAAAUCAAAUGACGCUGAUUCAGAGACGUACAAGGAUGAUUCUGUUCUAAGCAGAAAUCUUACACGAGUAAAAUUAAAUCCAUCGAAUAUUCAAAGCCUCUUUCAAAAGAUGAUAUCGUUAUCCAAUAAGGAAUGUUCCAACUUGUUGAACAAGCUGAAUGAAGAAGCACGUAAAGAAGCCAGGGUUUAAGAUUCUUACGUCAGUUUUGUAAUCGAUUCCGUUAUGUAAAGGAAACUGUUGCAUUCCACUUGAGUUCUCGGGAAACAUAAAGGUCUCCGCUACAACAUCUGUACAUGUAAUGAACAGAUCAAAUUGAACAGGCGAUAUUACAAAGUAAAGGUUCGCUUACUUUCCCUCGCGGAAAUGUCAGCGGCAUGGCCUAAGGUAUCCACCUUUUUUCGGGUCAGCUCGUUUCGAAAGCGAAAGCCGAGCUGAAUUUUCAAUCGGUGGAUACUAUUUCAGUCGAUCUUUUAUUCAUAACGCGUUUGACACAGUGGCCACUGUUUUUCUUUGGUUCUAUGUUUUUUUCCUUGAUUACUUUUUUGACACCAUUUGCAAAUCUCUAAGAUCUUCAGACCUUUAUGUUCCCUAGUACAUCUCUAUUAGUAUUACAUUACUAUUAUAGUGCUUGCUCUUAGCACCUUAAACCUUACUCAAACUUGUAUACUCUUCAACUUGAAGUCUACGUACAAUCAUAAUUUGUCUAGCCUGAAUAUAAAAUAUUGAUAACAUCUUAAUUUUCUUUGUUGUAAUAUAGCUAGUACAUCUCUAUCUUCUCUGGUAUAUACUCAAAUUAUUUGUUUGCUCUUAGCACCUUAAACCUUACUCAAACUUGUAUACUCUUCAACUUGAAGUUUACAUACAAUCAUAAUUUGUCUAGCCUGAAUAUAAAAUAUUGAUAACAUCGUAAUUUUCUUUGCUAUAAAAGUAUAACAAUGAACAGUUAGUUUUGGCUGACACAUCCAACAAAUAAAUACUAGUGCAAGUCCAACAGUACAAUUGUGUUAUUAAUUUAUAACAAAUACCAGGUUAAAAAGUAUACAAUUUGUCGUAGAUUAAACAUCUGUACAGCGUAAUCUCUCAGGUAAACAAAACAAUGUUAGAGCAAACACUUAUUAUCGCCUCCUUAUCUUUCCCGGGAUUCGCGGACACGUAUCGCUACCUCAUGUCUAUUUUGCAGAGUAGUUUUUUUUAGAUAAUCAAAUUUGGUCUGAUGUUUUUAAAUUGUAAACACGUUUGCUAAAGUUCAAAUGUUACAAUGUACAAUUUUUUUGAGACCUCAGACAAUGAAUAUACACAUACUGUCAAUAUUUUAGGAUUCCUAUUUGUUUAAAUUUACAUACACACUGACAAUAUAUGUAUAUUAAUUUAAGGUCGUAUAACAAAAAUGUUUCUCUACCUUGUAAUAGUCACAAUCGACAUUUCUAUCGAGUAAAUCCUCAAGCCUAAGCUCCGCCUCGUCGCAUUCGAUUUUCAUGGUAUUAAACAAACAUCUUUCACGUUUCACUCUUCCACGAUGUCUUCUUCGUUCCAAGCGACGAGUACUCGAAUUCAUUGAGACUACAGUGAAUCGCAUAGUAACGAAUUGCAAAAUUCUUUGUUGUCUUUCGAUACGAACAUUGCAGCAUAUUUUAUCACCGCGUGACUGUAUCUUGAUUACUUUUGAAAUAAGAUUUAACUUCUUGGAGAACGAUACUUGGCCGGUGGCGACCAGUCGCGAACAAAAGCGAUUACAAACAGCGUUGAUAAAAGAUACAGUUGAAAAAGUCCUUCAUACAUCUUUAUCUAUGAUAUUUUGAUAUCUGUAAUAUCUGUGGCGUAAACAAAGCACACCGGAAGUCUAGCAAACGUGUUUACAUCGCAGAAAGCCUUAUGAAAUAUAUCAAACAAUUUUGAACUAAAGACAUUCAAUGUGUUCUGUUGUAAUUUUAAUUCUAUUACUAUUACCUACUUGUUAGCUUCAAAUUUGUUAGCUAAUCAUUCAGAUAAUAACAAUUAACAUAACUGUACAUAUUAAGUAAACUUGAUGUAUCCUUGAACACAUCAAGUAUACUUAAAUAUCCUAAUACUAACAAGGUCUAAAUGCCUAAUACUAAUAAGGUCUACAAUAACGUUGAACUUUAAUGAAAACCUCCUAGUCUAAAAAUAAAUUUGAAUCAAGGAUUAAAUCCUUAAGCAUGGAAAGCUUGAAAGAAUCCGCCAAGCAUGAUCCUCGUUCCAUCCGAAGCAUUCCAAAAUUACCUUCCACGACACAACACCAUUAAUCCAGUUUAUUUUAAUCACACGCUUCACGUGCACGUCGCAACAAAUCGAUUCUCCACUUUCACUAAAACGAUCACGAUGACAAUUAGCGCUAAGAAACGGUUUAAAGUGGACUUGAUAUCUUCCACUGUUGAUAGAAGCGGCGGAGAGACUGGAACAAACGAACCUUCCAGUUUGCGAUUCGUAGCGCGACUCCGCGAUUUUCUUGACCCAUUAGAGAGUGGACAGAAUGGUCGAAAGAGUUGGCCAGCUUUGAAUCUCCUGGAUGAAAUCGCAUGCUACGCGCUGCCAAUGACAAUGUGCCCUCUCUCUCUCUAUACAGGGUGUCUUCAGAAUUACUAACAGACUCUUCAUACAAGUAUAAAUGAAGAAGACAGUAAGAGAUAAAUGAACUUCCAGAAGAUGUGAAUAUGUGUGGUGAUUAAUGGAGGAUCAGGAGUGGUUCCAGACUCCUUCAGUUCCUAGGAAAAGGUAAGGUUGUUAGAAAUGUGAUAGUGUGUUUGAUUAAUGUACCAAAUGCAUAACGUUACCAAAUGAAGUUAACUGUACUUGAGGUUCUAGGAGUCUCCUGUCUUCUAGAGAUAAUUCUAUGAACUUACAGAAGCUGUGAAUAUGUGUGGUGGUUAAUGGUGAGGAUCAGGAUUGGUUCCGGACUCCUUCAGUUCCUAGGAAAAGGUAAGGUUGUUAGAAACGUGAUAGUGUAUUUGACUAAUGCACCAAAUGCAUAACAUUACCAAAUGAAAUUAAAUGUAAUUUCAAGUUCUAGAAGUCUACUGUCUUCAUGUUAAAUAUUAAGUUAUAAAUCCUUAAUCCAUCUUGCUCAGUUCACUAAUUAUGAGACACCCUAUAUAAAAUAUAGUUGAAUUUAAAGAACUUAUAAAAAAUAAAAAAGUGGAUCAACAGUUGUUACCAUACUGCCAAUCAGUGGAACACAGACUGAACUUUUGGCAAGAUUUCCUCUUGCUCGAAGUGGAGAAAACAGCAGGAUUUACGGCGAUGUUUAUUAGCCAAGUUUUUGUUCGGAUGAUAAUCAAACUACGUCAAUGCCGAUGUUUUCUCAAAACGGAGAUCUUUUUAAUUAACCGAUAAGAGAAAUCCUCCGGUAAAUCUAGGAAGUUGGCAUUAUCUCGAGCUCAUAAAUAAUCUUCUUCUAUGCUAUCUUGAUUAAAAUAAAGAAUCCGAGUAAUCGAUUUCUUUGUAGCAAUUAUUAAUUCCGGUUUGGAAAAUUGCUGGCUUGGAUACAGAAGGAAACACAUUACAGUGGUAGUGAAUUCUAUGAAGCUGGAGAACGUCACAGAGUUAAUACGGUAGCACGCUCGAGUACACUAGAGCGUGGACACUGGUUAAACCCACGCAAAGAAUGUACAAAGCGAACGUAUACGCUCAUGAGUUUGUAAACACGUUGAUCUGUGUUAUGUGUGUAUAUGUAGAUAAAGGCAAGCAUUCGUGCGUACAAUAGGCGAGGUGUGUAUAACAAGUUCCAAGACCAUCUCGAAAGAAUGUUCAUUCGCCUGACACGUUUUUCUCCUGCACGCGAGGCUCCCGUUCAAUGGGAAAAACAAAUUUGUAAACGCUGAACAACUUGUAAAUUUUCGUUCUUCGGUAACAUGUUUAUCUACGUGGGAAUUCUUGGAAAAU
Megachile rotundata (alfalfa leafcutting bee) is the source of this 6462-nucleotide long non-coding RNA. Lineage: Eukaryota; Metazoa; Arthropoda; Insecta; Hymenoptera; Megachilidae. The record is from RefSeq and is a predicted model, not a curated record.